This is a long non-coding RNA of Photinus pyralis (common eastern firefly), 6560 nucleotides long. RefSeq lists it as uncharacterized. NCBI's taxonomy places the organism in Eukaryota, Metazoa, Arthropoda, Insecta, Coleoptera, Lampyridae. The transcript is spliced from 3 exons. The record is from RefSeq and is a predicted model, not a curated record.
UUCUUUGGAAUGUGAGGUCAAGUAGCGCAAUCCGUUAUCACGUUGAUAUUUUCUUUAAACUGGACGACCUUGCCGGUUUCAAUCCUGGAUUUUCGUAUACCAUUAGAAAACUAAAAUCGAUUAAUCGGACCUCAAACUUCCCUAGCAGGAGAGCUUUUGGCGGCUGUCGAAACAAUUUAAACAUUCCUACAGGAACGGUUGCAAAACGGAUAAAUUCACUACGAAACUUACCUGCGUUUUCGGUGGCAAGACAAACAAUUAAUCAAAAUGAAAACACAAAGCUCACUCCUCGUCUCGUAGAGCAAAUAUGUAAAUUCAGAAACUACGAUUUCUUAGUAACGAAGCGCACAACUUGAAACGCUUCUAGAUACCGGGUGUUCAGCAAAGCUGGCCUACUGCACAAAUAUACGGUAUGGUCGUAACUUCCGAUAUGAAACCUCUCAAUGUGCCAUAAAUACAUAGUACACUAAGUGGAUAAGUAUUAGGAACUCCAAAAUAAAAAAAAUUGAAAAGACACUCAUAAUCAUAGGCUAAACAUGUUUAGUUACACUUUGUUGAUUUUGUGUUGAUAUUUUCAAAUAAAAGGGAAGCUUCAAAUCUGUUAAUUUAGUUUAGAGUAACAUUUUUUGGGUAUGAAGUGAUUUGAUUGCAACCGUGUGAUUUCAGGGUGUCAGAAAUUUAAAAAUGAUUGAUUUGUUGAAUUAUGUCAACAAAAAAAAAGGUUUAGAGUUGUGGAUAAAUUAAUGUCUUCAAACUGAUUGUUAUGAUUGCCGCAUAUUAAUGCAAAGUGCAAAUGCAGAAAAUCGCAACACGACAAACGAAUUACGGGACGCAGAUAUUGUUAAAAUUUCCAAUAAAUGACCAAAAGCUGAACGCGAAAAUUAAAAGAAAAUUUUCAAAUUUAAUUACACAAUCGGUAAAUGUAAUUAGUCGUUAUGCAACAAAAAUGUCCUGUUAUGAAAAGCAUUCGAAAUAGAUUUUAAGUAAAAAAAGGACGCAGUCGCAAUUGCUAAAAUUAAAUUAUAAAACUACGAAAAUGUAAACGUUUAGAAUUAUUUGCACGUAAUUCUCUCAAAAGCUAUGUAGAACACUGGCAUUUUUAGCACAGAACAACGUUCUUUUUAAUGGAUUUAACAAGGAAACUGAGAAAUUUAAUGAUUGUUCCUAUCCGAAUAGUGUAACGAGUAAAUUCGAUUCAAUUAACCAGUCUUAAAAGCGCUUUCUAAGUUAAAAAAUUGUAGAAAACGAUAACUUUUACUUUUUGCUAUUUUAACUUGUUGGUGUUGUUUCUCUUGCAAUAAUCGUAAUUUUGUCGCUAUAAUUGCAGAUUCAACAUUUCACGCACGGUGGAUCACUUUAAGUUGACUCCACUGAAGAAUGAUAUACGAGGCAGCAAUUGAUUUCUUUCGGGGUUGGUGUAAAGGAAAACCUAUUCUUCUCAUAUUUUUAAAAUUGUUGUAUCUUUUUUCUGGGCCUUUCCUUUCGCAAUUUAAUUUAAUUAGCAAUGUAGGUCAAAGCAUAAGAAAGCUCCUUUUGACAUAUCCGUUAGUUAUGAACCGAAUUGCAUAAAAUUCAAACUGGGCAUAGCUAUAGCCAUAUAAUACGUAUAGUGCGGGACUCCGCUAACAACUCGAAGCUACCCCAAGAUGCCGCAAGCACCAAAUAUGACUUGUCUGCAAUAAAAGAGAUAUGUACCUAAUGGGAAAGGGUGGAUAUGAAACUGCCAGAGUACCGUACUGAAGAAAGAUUGGAUUUCUUUCGGCCGUGGUAUAAAACAUUGAUUUUUAUCGUAAUUUUAAUUUGUUUGUACCUUUUCUGUGCUUGUCUUUUGCAAUAAUUGCAAGGUCUUCCUUGUAAUUGCAGAUUCGACAUUUAUAAGCACUUUGGAUAUCAAACUGCGAACGGUAAAGAAGCAUCUUCGAGGAGUGGUAUAAGAAAAAUUAUUUAUCUCUUAAUUUUAACAUGUUUUUAUCUUUUGUGUGUAAUAAUUGUAGUUUUUUCCUUGUAAUUCCAGAUUCAACAUUCAUUCCUACGGUGCGAAUAUAAAACAGUGGAAGAACGCCACAGAAAACGAAUCUGCCAAGUGUAAUUGGGAUUUUUGUCUUGGAUAGUACUACGGAAAACUUAUUUUUUUAUAUCUAUGUUUUUCUCUCUUGCAAUAAUUUUAAUUUUGUCCCUAUAGUUGCAGAUUCCACAUUUAUUUGCACGGUGGAUAUCAAACUGCGAUAAUGGACCACUGAAGAAAGAUAUACGAGGGAGAUCUGAAUUUCUUUCUGGGGAAAAUCUUUUUUUUUGUAUAUUUUACUUACAAUUGUAAUUUUUUUUACAAUUGCAGAUUGUAACGGGUGGUCGCUACAAAGUACUUUUUUCUCGAAUUUAAAUUUUGGUAACCAUAGGGAAAUUUCCGCAUGUACCACUUCAUAGUGAACCGAAACCAAAUUACGUUUGGAAAUAAAAGAGGGACAGCAGCGUGUGCAUUUUUCGAUAAGAAUGCAGGUUUUGAAGACCAAUUUUAGUUAAAUCGUUUAUGCGGGAAUUAGAGACGGCAGAUGAGGUUGGUUUUUCAGAGAGUUAGCACUUAAAUUUCGGGGUGAGAAUUUUAGUAAUUCCCAUCUACUUGCGAUAUUUUUUAAAUUUAGCUAAAUUCAAGGGCGUCAAGUGACCGUCAGAUUACCGAUUAAAUUUUCCAUUGAAUUUGGAAGUUUGCCUAAUAAAGCAAAUAAAUAAAGUAGUGAUCGAUUCACGCGAUUAAUAAUUUUCUGUACACAACGUCAUUUGUUAGGAACCUUAGAAACAAUUAAAUGGGUGAUUUACUCACAUCGCAAAAGCUUAAUCAAUGGGAACAAAAUGUUAAGUUCAACACAGCGGAAUGUUGGCGUUUUAUUCCAGCGCAUAACAAAAACUAUCACCCAUCAUUUUCGCAAAUUUGGAGCUGAUUUGUUGGAGUUCGAAAUACUUAUGGACAUACACCACGAAGGGGAGCGGUAUAUUUUUGAAAAGAGAGAGUUCCGUCGAACCAGGACGUUAAUUUUGAAUUUAAGAUCUUAGAAGAAUAUAAGAGGCCAAACUUCCACAACGAAAGAGGUAUAACAACAAGUGUAUUAUUGAGCUAGCCGUGGAAACCAUAAAGAUUAAUUGUUUAUUAUUUUGUUUUGUAUUCUUUUAUGCCAUUGUAAAUGUGACUAAACCAUUACAAGGUUCGACAUUUAUACAUGGAUGAUGGAUAUCAAACUGAGAAAGGGCGCCAGUGAAAAAGGAAACAUAUUUUCUAAUGAUUUUAACUUGUUAGUGGUGUUUAUCUUGCGUAUUUUCAAAUUGCAGAUUCGACAUUUAUCCGCACGGUCGAGGACGAAUAGCGAGAAUACGUCACUGUAAAAUGAUCUACGAGGGAAAAUUCAAUAUCUUUCGGGGGCGGUAUAAAGGAAAAUCUUUUGUAUCUUUUCUUUUGUAAUAAUUGUAAUCAUUUUCUAAUAAUUAGAGAUUCUUACACGCACGGUGUAUAUCAAACAGCGUAGCUACGCUAAUAAAGAAGUAUCUACUUGGGGGAAUUUAAUUUCUUUCGGGGGUGGUAUAAUUGAUUUGUUUUUCUCAUAAUUUUAACUUGUUUGCGUCUUUCUGUGUAUCCUUUUCUUGCAGUAAUUGUAAUAUUUUCCUUAUAAUUGCAGAUUCGACAUUUUAGGUAUGCGCCUGGUGGAUAUCUAACUGCGAGAAUACGCAACUGAAGAAAGAUUAGGGAGAAUGGGAUUUUUUCGGGGGCGGUAAAAAGACCUUUCUCAAUUUUAAUGUUUGUGUGCCCUUGCUCUUGUAAUAAUGGAAAUUUUUUUAUUGUUAUUACAGAUUCGACGUCAUGGGUGGAGAUGAAUCUGCCAGAAUACGCCAUUGAAGGAGGAUUGGACUUCUUUCGGGGGUAGUAUAAAAAAACUGAUUGUUAUCGUAAUUUUAAUUUGUUUAUUGUGAAGCAUAUGUUAAAUUGUCAUUUUAAUGGGUUUGAAUGAGUCUCUUUUAACCAGUAAGAAUUAACAAAUUAAAUUAUCACUUUAUUAAGGCCAGUUUCACAAACGACUGAUGAUCAGUCCUGGUAGUUGGUCGGACUUCCGCAAGUUAAGGGCUGGAAAAAACAAUUUUAUUACUGAGCUAGCCGUGGGAAGAAUAAAACUAAUUGUUCUUUUGGGAUUUCUGCCAGUGCCGUAGAGAUUUAAUUUUAUUUUAUUCAAGCGGCGUCUGCAACCCUUGUAAAUGUAACUAGCCCGUUACAAGAUUCGAAAUUUAUAUAUGCACGGUGGAUUUCAAACUGAGAAAGGGCGUCAGUGGGAACGAAACAUAUUGUUUCUCAUAAUUUUAACUUGGUUGUAGUUUUUCGUUCUCUUGCGGUAAUUGUAAUUUUUUUCUAAUUGUAGAUUCGACAUUUAAGACCGGUAGAUGUCAAAUAGCAAGAAUACGUCAUUGAAGAUGAAUCCACGAGGGAGAAUUGGACUUCUUUCGGGGGUGGUAUAACGGAAAAGCUAUUUUUCUCAUAGUUUUAACCGCUUGUAUCUUUUAUGUGCCAUUUCUUUUGCAAUAGUUGUAAACCUUUCCAAUAAUUACCUACAGAUUUGACAUUUACACGUGCGGUGUAUAUCAAACUGCGAGAAUAUGCUACAACAGAAGUAUCUACGAUUUUUCUCAUAAUUUUAAUGUGUGUUUUUUUGUGUGUUUUUCCUCUAGCAAUAAUUUUUUCCUUAUAAUUAUAAGGAGGGAGAAUUAGAUUUCUAUCGGGGUUGGUGUAAAUGAAAAGUUAUUUUUCUUGUGUAUUUUUCUCUUACAAUAAUUGUAAUUGUUUUAAUAAUUGCAGAUUCAACAGUCAUCGUACGGUGGACAUCAAAGGAACAAGGGAUAAUAAAAUUGAGUCUCUUGCGGGAGUAUAGUUUUAACUUUAAAUCUAAUUUUUUUCUUGUAAAUUGCAGAUUCGAUAUUUAUUUGCACGGUGGGUACCCAAACUGGAAGAAUGUGCAACUGAAAAAAGAUCUACGAAGGAGAACUAAACAUUUUUCUAGGGUGGUAUAAAGAAAGGAAAACCUUUUUCUUAUAAUUUUUUUGUGUUUGUGUUUUUUUUUGUUUGGUUGGCUUGAACAUAUCUCUUAGAUCCUCUUCAUCAAUAAAUCUAAUCUUUUUCUUGUAAUUGUAGAUUCGACAUUUAUAUGCACGGUGGAUAUUAAACUGCGGGAAUAUGCCACUGAAAAAAUAUUUACUGUGGAGAACUGUAUCCCUUUCGGGAGUGGAUUAAAGCAAAACUUAUUGUCUCGUCAUUUUAACUUGCUUAUAUUUUUUUCUGUGUCUCUUCUCUAACAAUAAUUGUAUUUUUUUCUUAUAAUUGCAGAUUCGACGUAGAUUAAGAGGGAGCCACUGAAGAAGGAAACGGGGUGUUGCAAAGGAAAAUUUAUUUUUCUCAUAAUUUUUUUAAUUGUUUCUCUCUCUUCUAUGCCUUUUUUCUUUGUUAUAAUAAUAAUAUUUUAUUGCUCAACAGAUUAUGAUCCUUUUACAGCAAAAUGCAUACAAACAAUAUGGUAGCAAGCAAGUAAACAAAACAGAGUAAGAAAUAUAUCCAAACAUAAGUAUGAAUACAAACAAAAUUGGCUAAUGCAAAGGUAAAAGUUAAAAAAGAAAGCUAAAUGAGGGGAUUAUGAGUCGUUACAGUACGAGUGAUUCUGACUGCACGGUGGAUAGCAAACUAGAAGAGGACGCCACUGAAUGAUAUUGGCGCGGGUGGUAUAAAAUAAAAUUUAUUUUCCCUAUAAUUUUAACUUGCAUACAACUAUUUGUGCCGUUUCUCUUUCAGUAAUUGUAAUGUUUCCUAAUAAUUUCAGGUUCAACAUAUAAGCGCUAACAUCUCUGCGGAAAAGUUCACAGAAGAAAGAACUCCUCAGAAUAAGCUAUCAGGAAACUACUGCCUCCCAAAUUCCAAAAGAUUUAUGGAAAAUGGUACAAUAAGUAUAAUGGAUGCAAGAACCAAAAUGUACAUUUGAAGUGUGUACUCCACUGUCACUUUUUGUCCUGCGUCGCGUUUUACACUUUAGUCUCCGAAAAUCUUAAUUGUUUUUAACUUCUAUGUAACAUUUUGUCCUCUCUUUGGCAAUAAUUGGAAUGUUUUAUGGUUAGAUAUUUAUACCUGUUUAUUAUAUAGAUAUCAAUCUACGAAAAAAACGCCAAUGAAGAAAGACCGAUUAAGCAUUAGAUUUUUCAAAGGAAAACCAAUUUUUGUGAUAAAUAAUUACUCUCUCAUUUUUUUUAUAAAUGAACGAGAAAAGUACUAUGUAUACUUACCAUUGAAGUAUAUCAAAGACUAUUGUUUUUUCUUGAGCUUUUUGGUAUCGAAUCGUUUAUGCAGGCUUAUAGACGCUCUUUUACUCCUCUAUACAGGACCGGAUAUACAUAUUUUGCGCUCAUCCAAUUAAAAGCAUUUUAUACCCCAACCAAAAUUAUACUGUACUCUUUCCAGAAUACUAUUUUCUUUCUACUAAUUUGCUCAGAUUGAUUUGAUUUGUUGUAAAAAUAUUUUUCAUAUUAAUUAUGAGAUUUAUAAA